GAUGAAGAACGUAGCGAAAUGCGAUAAGUAAUGUGAAUUGCAGAAUUCAGUGAAUCAUCGAAUCUUUGAACGCACAUUGCGCCCGCCAGUAUUCUGGCGGGCAUGCCUGUCCGAGCGUCAUUUCAACCCUCGAACCCCUCCGGGGGGUCGGCGUUGGGGAUCGGCCCUUUCACCGGGUGCCGUCCCCCAAAUACAGUGGCGGUCUCGCCGCAGCCUCUCAUGCGCAGUAGUUUGCACACUCGCACCGGGAGCGCGGCGCGUCCACGUCCGUAAAACACCCCAAACUUCUGAAAUGUUGACCUCGGAUCAGGUAGGAAUACCCGCUGAACUUAAGCAUAUCAAUAAGCGGAGGA
This 353-nucleotide unclassified non-coding RNA is filed under the name soil metagenome. Its description in RNAcentral is "partial contains 5.8S ribosomal RNA, internal transcribed spacer 2, and large subunit ribosomal RNA". The stretch from base 1 to 120 matches the Rfam family "5.8S ribosomal RNA", at positions 35 to 154 of the family's 154-position model. The record is from RNAcentral.